Molecule: transfer RNA, 74 nt
Filed under: Streptosporangium subroseum
Lineage: Bacteria; Bacillati; Actinomycetota; Actinomycetes; Streptosporangiales; Streptosporangiaceae
Also listed under: 1 other name
Rfam family: tRNA
About the family: Transfer RNA (tRNA) molecules are approximately 80 nucleotides in length. Their secondary structure includes four short double-helical elements and three loops (D, anti-codon, and T loops). Further hydrogen bonds mediate the characteristic L-shaped molecular structure. tRNAs have two regions of fundamental functional importance: the anti-codon, which is responsible for specific mRNA codon recognition, and the 3' end, to which the tRNAs corresponding amino acid is attached (by aminoacyl-tRNA synthetases). tRNAs cope with the degeneracy of the genetic code in two manners: having more than one tRNA (with a specific anti-codon) for a particular amino acid; and 'wobble' base-pairing, i.e. permitting non-standard base-pairing at the 3rd anti-codon position.
Source: Rfam by way of RNAcentral
GCGCCGCUAGCUCAGUUGGUUAGAGCAGCUGACUCUUAAUCAGCGGGUCCGGGGUUCAAGUCCCUGGCGGCGCA